CGAAUGCUGACAUAAGUAACGAUAAAGCGGGUGAAAAGCCCGCUCGCCGGAAGACCAAGGGUUCCUGUCCAACGUUAAUCGGGGCAGGGUGAGUCGACCCCUAAGGCGAGGCCGAAAGGCGUAGUCGAUGGGAAACAGGUUAAUAUUCCUGUACUUGGUGUUACUGCGAAGGGGGGACGGAGAAGGCUAUGUUGGCCGGGCGACGGUUGUCCCGGUUUAAGCGUGUAGGCUGGUUUUCCAGGCAAAUCCGGAAAAUCAAGGCUGAGGCGUGAUGACGAGGCACUACGGU
Molecule: ribosomal RNA, 289 nt
Filed under: Escherichia coli
Lineage: Bacteria; Pseudomonadati; Pseudomonadota; Gammaproteobacteria; Enterobacterales; Enterobacteriaceae
Description: partial 23S ribosomal RNA
Rfam family: Bacterial large subunit ribosomal RNA
Source: RNAcentral